Long non-coding RNA from Episyrphus balteatus (marmalade hoverfly), 1103 nucleotides. RefSeq lists it as uncharacterized. The transcript has 2 exons. Lineage: Eukaryota; Metazoa; Arthropoda; Insecta; Diptera; Syrphidae. The record is from RefSeq and is a predicted model, not a curated record.
UUUAAUACCUUCCUUUCACCAGUAGAUGUCCUCACAAACAGGUUUGUGCUUUGAAUUUAAACAUGAUUUUGGUUUGUACAUGAACUUGAAUAGCUCAAAUAGCUCACUCCAGACACCCACCUUUCAAUAAAUAUGUACAAAAAUAAAAAAAAAUGGUUCAAGAGGAUGCCCUUUAACUUUGGCAGGUGAUCAAAGCAGAUAUGGAACAAAACAAAGCUGACGGAGUUAUAUAUAAGUUACGGAAGUCCAGCCCCACCUAAUCCCGAAACUCCAAAUCACUCACAACAACCAAGGGCAAAACCCGUUGAAUUCAGUGCGAACUGAAAACAUCGACCAUAUCCCUCAAUGGCAAACAAAAACGCUAAUAUGUCAAAUUUGCGGACUGAAGACGUACACAAUGUGUAGAAAAUGCAGAGGCGGAUUUACAAAUUUUCAAGGUAAUGCUCAAGGAUUGGAAACAGCAACUAGAGGAAGAUUAUUUUACAUCGAAGAAUUUGGCUUCUAUGGUCUAAGAAGAUAAGGUAUGAUCAUUAGAGUCGCCAUUUUACAAAAUGGAGUAAUAAGUUUUUGACGUUUAAUUUGGCAAAUUCAAAAGCAACAACAUUUUCCAAGAAAAAAUUUUUAACAACAACAAUUUCAAUAGGGCAGCGUCAAAAACUUAGGAAGCCAUCUUUUUGUCUUUUAUCUGACAGUUCUCGAUACAGACUUUUUUCUAAUAUAAUGAUCAUACCUUCUCUUUUUAUACCAUGUUUGACUUCACCCUAAGAGCCUCAAUCAAUGAAAAUCAAUUCAAAAAUGGCUUAGAAAAAAAAAUUUUGAUUUCAACACAGGCACAGAAAUUCGAACGUUUGGGCAUCGAAAAAAAUGUUAUUUUGGCACGUAAUAAAUUGAUAGCGGUUUAAAUUGCGUUUUUCUCGAAAUGAGUUCGAAUGGACUUGUGCUGUUUUUCCACUGGAUCCUUCAUAUAUUUCAACUUAUUUUUUUUUUUUGUUGAAAUAAUCGAUUUCAAAGUUAAAAAUAGACAAAAAAAAAUUAAAAAACUCAUUAAUUACUAUUUUUGUCCAGAGUGUGAAUUUUAAUAAAAAAUUGACUCAUAUUGAAAA